Molecule: transfer RNA, 75 nt
Filed under: Chitinispirillales bacterium
Lineage: Bacteria; Pseudomonadati; Fibrobacterota; Chitinispirillia; Chitinispirillales
Description: tRNA-Pro
Rfam family: tRNA
About the family: Transfer RNA (tRNA) molecules are approximately 80 nucleotides in length. Their secondary structure includes four short double-helical elements and three loops (D, anti-codon, and T loops). Further hydrogen bonds mediate the characteristic L-shaped molecular structure. tRNAs have two regions of fundamental functional importance: the anti-codon, which is responsible for specific mRNA codon recognition, and the 3' end, to which the tRNAs corresponding amino acid is attached (by aminoacyl-tRNA synthetases). tRNAs cope with the degeneracy of the genetic code in two manners: having more than one tRNA (with a specific anti-codon) for a particular amino acid; and 'wobble' base-pairing, i.e. permitting non-standard base-pairing at the 3rd anti-codon position.
Source: RNAcentral
CGGAGCGUAGCGCAGUCCGGUUAGCGCGCAUGGUUCGGGACCAUGAGGCCGGAGGUUCAAAUCCUCUCGCUCCGA